This 438-nucleotide ribosomal RNA is filed under the name uncultured Anaerolineaceae bacterium. Its description in RNAcentral is "bacterial SSU rRNA". It matches the Rfam family "Bacterial small subunit ribosomal RNA", at positions 929 to 1382 of the family's 1533-position model. Lineage: Bacteria; Bacillati; Chloroflexota; Anaerolineae; Anaerolineales; Anaerolineaceae. The record is from RNAcentral.
GCGAGUGGAUGAUGUGGUUUAAUUCGAUGCAACGCGAAAACCUUACCACCUUUGACAUGGCAGGAAUCCUAAAGAGAUUUGGGAGUGCUCGAAAGAGAACCUGCACACAGGUGCUGCAUGGCUGUCGUCAGCUCGUGUCGUGAGAUGUUGGGUUAAGUCCGCAGCGAGCGCAACCCUCGUCGUAUGUUAUAUGUGUCAUACGAGACUGCCGGUAAAAGCCGGAGGAAGGUGAGGAUGAUGUCAAGUCAGCAUGACCUUUAUAUCCAGGGCUACACACACGCUACAAUGGUCUGUACAAUGGGUAGCCAAGCCGCGAGGCGGAGCCAAUCCUGAAAGCAGGCCUCAGUUCAGAUUGCAGUCUGCAACUCGACUGCAUGAAGCCGGAGUUGCUAGUAACCGCAGGUCAGCAAUACUGCGGUGAAUACGUUCCCGGGUCUU